GUUUCAGAUAGAUAUUGUUGUGUGACAGAAAUGUCUCGAGUUCAAGUUAACAUUCUCUAUUGCGGUGCAUGAGGGUACAGAAGUAAGGCCAAUCGGCUAAUCAGUGACAUCAAAAAUGAGUUCGCUAGCUAUGGAAUCGAAUUUGAUUCCGAGGGCACUCCGAGAGCGACUGGCUACUUCGAGGUCUCAGUAAACGGAGAACUUGUUCACUCCAAGAAGUAUACACUGUCUGGCAAUCCAUGGGCUAAACUCCUCAGUUUUACGAGUUUUUCAGGGAAGGGCGACGGCUACGUUGACAGCGAGAAGAAACUGAAGAAGAUCUUCUCAGCUGUGGAAGUGGCACUGGGGUUGAAGGAGUAGAAGAGAGGAGAUCAGACUCACAUGGCCGACUGAGAUGAGCUAACUUAAUACACCUCUACUAACAAGUGCCAAGAAACGACAUGAACAGAACAUUACAUUGAACAACAAAGGGCGACGGCUACGUUGACAGCGAGAAGAAACUGAAGAAGAUCUUCUCAGCUGUGGAAGUGGCACUGGGGUUGAAGGAGUAGAAGAGAGGAGAUCAGACUCACAUGGCCGACUGAGAUGAGCUAACUUAAUACACCUCUACUAACAAGUGCCAAGAAACGACAUGAACAGAACAUUACAUUGAACAACACUGAGAAGCAUAGAAAUGACGUCUGCAUGCAGAAAGGUUACUAUUUGACCCCUCUGCAGACUGACACGGAAUAACCGAUCAGAAAUGGCUGGAUUCUGUUGCUCCGAAGUGUUAAGUUCAAUGUACUGGACUGUACCAUGUGCUAGUUUGUUAAGUUUGUAAAUUAAUCAUAGAAAUUGAUAUCAUAUGUUGAACGCCGUUUACUCCCAUGUACAGGAAGAGUUUCACCGAUCAUUCAAACUCAAUCGGAACAUUACUAAUUAAUUUUCAGCAUAUUUGAAGUCAAGUCGGUUUUGUAAUUUUCUUAUUUUGCGGGUAUUGAUUAUUGUUAUUUUAUGCUUGAUAUUUUAUCAGCAAAUCCGAAAUUUUAGACCAUGACCUUAAUUGAUAAAUGUCCAUUGAAUGCGAGUAAACCGGCUAAAGGUCACUGAUGCUAAUUUAGAAGUCAUUCGAUAGAUAGAAUUUGCUCAACCUGUUUCCACUUUCACGUAUGAACUUUCUAAGCUGCGUUUAAUUGAAGUUGUUUUGAAGUCAAAAAUGAAUCAACUUAAACAUGCAUUCAUUCGAAAUUAUAAAAUAUGAUGAAAAAGCUAAUUUAUUUUAUUUGAGAUAAAACGAAUUAUAAUGAGUUUAGUUUGUGUUCAUACCGUGUUCAUCUGAGGCAUUCAUGUUAGAACUAUUUUGAAAUACAAAUUCAUUUUAACUCAUC
This is a long non-coding RNA of Symsagittifera roscoffensis, 1367 nucleotides long. RefSeq lists it as uncharacterized. The transcript has 7 exons. NCBI's taxonomy places the organism in Eukaryota, Metazoa, Xenacoelomorpha, Acoela, Convolutidae. The record is from RefSeq and is a predicted model, not a curated record.